GACCGCCUGGCGGCCUUCGUCGCCGCGCGCUGGCAGGUGGCGCCCGAGGCGGUGCAGUUCGCCGGCGGCCA
Molecule: transfer RNA, 71 nt
Filed under: Sphaerotilus natans
Lineage: Bacteria; Pseudomonadati; Pseudomonadota; Betaproteobacteria; Burkholderiales; Sphaerotilaceae
Also listed under: 2 other names
Description: tRNA-Leu
Source: RNAcentral